GCCCUAACCGAUCUUGGAGAUCGUAGAAUUGUAUUGCAGUGGUCACCGAUAACCGGACUCUUCGGUCCCUUGGCCCCUUUGAGGUCCAUACCUUGCUGUGUCGAUCUUUCCCACCGGAAGCUCUAGAAACCCUAAUUAUGCGUGACGAAUGCUGCCACCCACGAAGCCUAUUGGCGCUGCCGGCAUCGCCGCCCGAUCUACUGCC
RNAcentral lists this unclassified non-coding RNA (205 nucleotides) under Hevea brasiliensis (rubber tree). Lineage: Eukaryota; Viridiplantae; Streptophyta; Magnoliopsida; Malpighiales; Euphorbiaceae. The record is from RNAcentral.